This 348-nucleotide unclassified non-coding RNA is filed under the name soil metagenome. RNAcentral describes it as "partial contains 5.8S ribosomal RNA, internal transcribed spacer 2, and large subunit ribosomal RNA". The stretch from base 1 to 120 matches the Rfam family "5.8S ribosomal RNA", at positions 35 to 154 of the family's 154-position model. The record is from RNAcentral.
GAUGAAGAACGUAGCGAAAUGCUAUAAGUAAUGUGAAUUGCAGAAUUCAGUGAAUCAUCGAGUCUUUGAACGCACAUUGCGCCCCCUGGUAUUCCGGGGGGCAUGCCUGUCCGAGCGUCAUUGCUGCCCUCAAGCACGGCUUGUGUGUUGGGCCCCGCCCCCCGGCUCCCGGGGGGCGGGCCCGAAAGGCAGCGGCGGCACCGCGUCCGGUCCUCGAGCGUAUGGGGCUUCGUCACCCGCUCCGUAGGCCCGGCCGGCGCCCGCCGGCGACCCCCCUCAAUCUUUUCAGGUUGACCUCGGAUCAGGUAGGGAUACCCGCUGAACUUAAGCAUAUCAAUAAGCGGAGGA